GGAAUAUUGCGCAAUGGGCGACAGCCUGACGCAGCGACGCCGCGUGGGGGAUGAAGGUCUUCGGAUUGUAAACCCCUUUCGGCAGGGAAGAUGGAGCGGGCCACCGUUCGGACGGUACCUGCAGACGCAGCCACGGCUAACUCCGGCCCAGCCGCCGCGGUAAUCCGAAGGUGGCAAGCGUUGUUCGGAUUUACUGGGCGUACAGGGAGCGUAGGCGGUUAGGUAAGCCCUUCGUGAAAUCUCCGGGCCUAACCCGGAAAGUGCGGAGGGGACUGCUUAGCUAGAGGAUGGGAGAGGAGCGCGGAAUUCCCGGUGUAGCGGUGAAAUGCGUAGAGAUCGGGAGGAAGGCCGGUGGCGAAGGCGGCGCUCUGGAACAUUUCUGACGCUGAGGCUCGAAAGCGUGGGGAGCAAAC
This 413-nucleotide ribosomal RNA is filed under the name uncultured bacterium. RNAcentral's name for it is "bacterial SSU rRNA". It matches the Rfam family "Bacterial small subunit ribosomal RNA", at positions 358 to 773 of the family's 1533-position model. The record is from RNAcentral.